This 837-nucleotide ribosomal RNA is filed under the name Psiloglonium clavisporum. RNAcentral's name for it is "SSU rRNA". It matches the Rfam family "Eukaryotic small subunit ribosomal RNA", at positions 173 to 1018 of the family's 1831-position model. Lineage: Eukaryota; Fungi; Ascomycota; Dothideomycetes; Hysteriales; Hysteriaceae. The record is from RNAcentral.
GCUAAAAACCCCGACUUCGGGAGGGGUGUAUUUAUUAAAUAAAAAACCAAUGCCCUUCGGGGCUCUUUGGUGAGUCAUAAUAACUUAACGGAUCGCAUGGCCUUGCGCCGGCGACGGUUCAUUCAAAUUUCUGCCCUAUCAACUUUCGAUUGUAGGGUAGUGGCCUACAAUGGUUUCAACGGGUGACGGGGGAUUAGGGUUCGAUUCCGGAGAGGGAGCCUGAGAAACGGCUACCACAUCCAAGGAAGGCAGCAGGCGCGCAAAUUACCCAAUCCCGACACGGGGAGGUAGUGACAAUAAAUACUGAUACAGGGCUCUUUUGGGUCUUGUAAUUGGAAUGAGUACAAUUUAAAUCCCUUAACGAGGAACAAUUGGAGGGCAAGUCUGGUGCCAGCAGCCGCGGUAAUUCCAGCUCCAAUAGCGUAUAUUAAAGUUGUUGCAGUUAAAAAGCUCGUAGUUGAACCUUGGGCCUGGCUGGCCGGUCCGCCUCACCGCGUGCACUGGUCCGGCCGGGCCUUUCCUUCUGGAGAACCGCAUGCCCUUUACUGGGUGUGUCGGGGAACCAGGACUUUUACUUUGAAAAAAUUAGAGUGUUCAAAGCAGGCCUUUGCUCGAAUACGUUAGCAUGGAAUAAUAGAAUAGGACGUGCGGUCCUAUUUUGUUGGUUUCUAGGACCGCCGUAAUGAUUAAUAGGGAUAGUCGGGGGCAUCAGUAUUCAAUUGUCAGAGGUGAAAUUCUUGGAUUUAUUGAAGACUAACUACUGCGAAAGCAUUUGCCAAGGAUGUUUUCAUUAAUCAGUGAACGAAAGUUAGGGGAUCGAAGACGAUCAGAUACCGU